GGUUUCUCUGUGUAGCCUUGGCUGUCCUGGAACUCACUUUGUAGACCAGGCUGGCCUUGAACUCAGAGAUUCACCUGCCUCUGCCUCUCAAGUGCUGGGACUAAAGACAUGCAUUUCCACCACCCG
This 126-nucleotide microRNA precursor is filed under the name Microtus ochrogaster (prairie vole). Its description in RNAcentral is "miRNA (ENSMOCG00000006286.1)". The record is from RNAcentral. Lineage: Eukaryota; Metazoa; Chordata; Mammalia; Rodentia; Cricetidae.